UUAUAAGGAACACAAGCUAAAAUCGUCACGUCCUGUGACAACGCUUGUGUAACCAACAUCGUGUCGG
This 67-nucleotide small RNA is filed under the name Solibacillus silvestris StLB046. RNAcentral describes it as "Bacillaceae-1 RNA". It matches the Rfam family "Bacillaceae-1 RNA". The record is from Rfam by way of RNAcentral. Lineage: Bacteria; Bacillati; Bacillota; Bacilli; Caryophanales; Caryophanaceae.